Molecule: ribosomal RNA, 498 nt
Filed under: uncultured bacterium
Lineage: Bacteria
Description: partial 16S ribosomal RNA
Rfam family: Bacterial small subunit ribosomal RNA
Source: RNAcentral
GGAUGAACGCUGGCGGCGUGCCUACUACAUGCAAGUCGAGCGAACAGACGAGGAGCUUGCUCCUCUGACGUUAGCGGCGGACGGGUGAGUAACACGUGGAUAACCUACCUAUAAGACUGGGAUAACUUCGGGAAACCGGAGCUAAUACCGGAUAAUAUAUUGAACCGCAUGGUUCAAUAGUGAAAGACGGUUUUGCUGUCACUUAUAGAUGGAUCCGCGCCGCAUUAGCUAGUUGGUAAGGUAACGGCUUACCAAGGCAACGAUGCGUAGCCGACCUGAGAGGGUGAUCGGCCACACUGGAACUGAGACACGGUCCAGACUCCUACGGGAGGCAGCAGUAGGGAAUCUUCCGCAAUGGGCGAAAGCCUGACGGAGCAACGCCGCGUGAGUGAUGAAGGUCUUUGGAUCGUAAAACUCUGUUAUUAGGGAAGAACAAAUGUGUAAGUAACUAUGCACGUCUUGACGGUACCUAAUCAGAAAGCCACGGCUAACUACGUG